UACGUAGGCAGCGAGCGUUGUUCGGAGUUACUGGGCGUAAAGCGUAUGUAGGCGGCUUCGUAAGUCGAGUGUGAAAUCCCAGAGCUUAACUUUGGAACUGCAUUCGAGACUGCAAGGCUUGAGUAUCGGAGAGGUUGGCGGAAUUCCCAGUGUAGCAGUGAAAUGCGCAGAUAUUGGGAGGAACACCGAUGGCGUAAGCAGCCAACUGGACGAUUACUGACGCUGAGAUACGAAAGUAUGGGGAGCAAACAGG
Molecule: ribosomal RNA, 253 nt
Filed under: uncultured bacterium
Lineage: Bacteria
Description: partial 16S ribosomal RNA
Rfam family: Bacterial small subunit ribosomal RNA
Source: RNAcentral